UACGUAGGGGGCAAGCGUUGUCCGGAAUCAUUGGGCGUAAAGAGCGUGUAGGCGGCCUCGUAAGUCUGCUGUGAAAGUCCAGGGCUCAACCCUGGGAUGUCAGUGGAUACUGUGAGGCUCGAGUCCGGAAGAGGCGGGUGGAAUUCCUGGUGUAGCGGUGAAAUGCGCAGAUAUCAGGAGGAACACCAAUGGCGAAGGCAGCCCGCUGGGACGUGACUGACGCUGAGACGCGAAAGCGUGGGGAGCAAACAGG
Molecule: ribosomal RNA, 253 nt
Filed under: uncultured bacterium
Lineage: Bacteria
Description: partial 16S ribosomal RNA
Rfam family: Bacterial small subunit ribosomal RNA
Source: RNAcentral